GCCCGAGUGGUGGAAUGGUAGACACAAGGGACUUAAAAUCCCUCGGACAUUGUGUCCGUGCCGGUUCAAGUCCGGCCUUGGGCACCA
Molecule: transfer RNA, 87 nt
Rfam family: tRNA
About the family: Transfer RNA (tRNA) molecules are approximately 80 nucleotides in length. Their secondary structure includes four short double-helical elements and three loops (D, anti-codon, and T loops).